Molecule: ribosomal RNA, 2254 nt
Filed under: Bacillus thuringiensis JM-Mgvxx-63
Lineage: Bacteria; Bacillati; Bacillota; Bacilli; Caryophanales; Bacillaceae
Description: bacterial LSU rRNA
Rfam family: Bacterial large subunit ribosomal RNA
Source: RNAcentral
GAGCCGCAGCGAAAGCGAGUCUGAAUAGGGCGUUUAGUACGUGGUCGUAGACCCGAAACCAGGUGAUCUACCCAUGUCCAGGGUGAAGUUCAGGUACUGAAUGGAGGCCCGAACCCACGCACGUUGAAAAGUGCGGGGAUGAGGUGUGGGUAGCGGAGAAAUUCCAAUCGAACCUGGAGAUAGCUGGUUCUCCCCGAAAUAGCUUUAGGGCUAGCCUUAAGUGUAAGAGUCUUGGAGGUAGAGCACUGAUUGAACUAGGGGUCCUCAUCGGAUUACCGAAUUCAGUCAAACUCCGAAUGCCAAUGACUUAUCCUUAGGAGUCAGACUGCGAGUGAUAAGAUCCGUAGUCAAGAGGGAAACAGCCCAGAUCGCCAGCUAAGGUCCCAAAGUGUGUAUUAAGUGGAAAAGGAUGUGGAGUUGCUUAGACAACUAGGAUGUUGGCUUAGAAGCAGCCACCAUUUAAAGAGUGCGUAAUAGCUCACUAGUCGAGUGACUCUGCGCCGAAAAUGUACCGGGGCUAAAUACACCACCGAAGCUGCGAAUUGAUACCAAUGGUAUCAGUGGUAGGGGAGCGUUCUAAGUGCAGUGAAGUCAGACCGGAAGGACUGGUGGAGCGCUUAGAAGUGAGAAUGCCGGUAUGAGUAGCGAAAGACGGGUGAGAAUCCCGUCCACCGAAUGCCUAAGGUUUCCUGAGGAAGGCUCGUCCGCUCAGGGUUAGUCAGGACCUAAGCCGAGGCCGACAGGCGUAGGCGAUGGACAACAGGUUGAUAUUCCUGUACCACCUCUUUAUCGUUUGAGCAAUGGAGGGACGCAGAAGGAUAGAAGAAGCGUGCGAUUGGUUGUGCACGUCCAAGCAGUUAGGCUGAUAAGUAGGCAAAUCCGCUUAUCAUGAAGGCUGAGCUGUGAUGGGGAAGCUCCUUAUGGAGCGAAGUCUUUGAUUCCCCGCUGCCAAGAAAAGCUUCUAGCGAGAUAAAAGGUGCCUGUACCGCAAACCGACACAGGUAGGCGAGGAGAGAAUCCUAAGGUGUGCGAGAGAACUCUGGUUAAGGAACUCGGCAAAAUGACCCCGUAACUUCGGGAGAAGGGGUGCUUUCUUAACGGAAAGCCGCAGUGAAUAGGCCCAAGCGACUGUUUAGCAAAAACACAGCUCUCUGCGAAGCCGUAAGGCGAAGUAUAGGGGGUGACACCUGCCCGGUGCUGGAAGGUUAAGGAGAGGGGUUAGCGUAAGCGAAGCUCUGAACUGAAGCCCCAGUAAACGGCGGCCGUAACUAUAACGGUCCUAAGGUAGCGAAAUUCCUUGUCGGGUAAGUUCCGACCCGCACGAAAGGUGUAACGAUUUGGGCACUGUCUCAACCAGAGACUCGGUGAAAUUAUAGUACCUGUGAAGAUGCAGGUUACCCGCGACAGGACGGAAAGACCCCGUGGAGCUUUACUGUAGCCUGAUAUUGAAUUUUGGUACAGUUUGUACAGGAUAGGCGGGAGCCAUUGAAACCGGAGCGCUAGCUUCGGUGGAGGCGCUGGUGGGAUACCGCCCUGACUGUAUUGAAAUUCUAACCUACGGGUCUUAUCGACCCGGGAGACAGUGUCAGGUGGGCAGUUUGACUGGGGCGGUCGCCUCCUAAAGUGUAACGGAGGCGCCCAAAGGUUCCCUCAGAAUGGUUGGAAAUCAUUCGUAGAGUGCAAAGGCAUAAGGGAGCUUGACUGCGAGACCUACAAGUCGAGCAGGGACGAAAGUCGGGCUUAGUGAUCCGGUGGUUCCGCAUGGAAGGGCCAUCGCUCAACGGAUAAAAGCUACCCCGGGGAUAACAGGCUUAUCUCCCCCAAGAGUCCACAUCGACGGGGAGGUUUGGCACCUCGAUGUCGGCUCAUCGCAUCCUGGGGCUGUAGUCGGUCCCAAGGGUUGGGCUGUUCGCCCAUUAAAGCGGUACGCGAGCUGGGUUCAGAACGUCGUGAGACAGUUCGGUCCCUAUCCGUCGUGGGCGUAGGAAAUUUGAGAGGAGCUGUCCUUAGUACGAGAGGACCGGGAUGGACGCACCGCUGGUGUACCAGUUGUUCUGCCAAGGGCAUAGCUGGGUAGCUAUGUGCGGAAGGGAUAAGUGCUGAAAGCAUCUAAGCAUGAAGCCCCCCUCAAGAUGAGAUUUCCCAUAGCGUAAGCUAGUAAGAUCCCUGAAAGAUGAUCAGGUUGAUAGGUUCGAGGUGGAAGCAUGGUGACAUGUGGAGCUGACGAAUACUAAUAGAUCGAGGACUUAACCAU